RNAcentral lists this ribosomal RNA (420 nucleotides) under Fusobacteriota bacterium. Its description in RNAcentral is "Fusobacteria bacterium partial 16S ribosomal RNA". It matches the Rfam family "Bacterial small subunit ribosomal RNA", at positions 355 to 776 of the family's 1533-position model. The record is from RNAcentral. Lineage: Bacteria; Fusobacteriati; Fusobacteriota.
UGGGGGAUAUUGCACAAUGGGCGAAAGCCUGAUGCAGCGACGCCGCGUGGGGGAUGAAGGCCUUCGGGUUGUAAACUUCUUUUGCUCUGAACAAGGCAUGCCUUUGGGGUGUGUUGAGUGUAGGGGUUGAUUAGCGCCGGCUAACUACGUGCCAGCAGCCGCGGUAAUACGUAGGGCGCGAGCGUUGUCCGGAAUUAUUGGGCGUUAAGGGCUUGUAGGUGGCUGGUUGCGUCUGUCGUGAAAGCUCAUGGCUUAACUGUGGGUUUGCGGUGGGUACGGGCUGGCUUGAGUGCAGUAGGGGAGGCUGGAAUUCCUGGUGUAGCGGUGGAAUGCGCAGAUAUCAGGAGGAAUACCGGUGGCGAAGGCGGGUCUCUGGGCUGUUACUGACGCUGAGGAGCGAAAGCGUGGGGAGCGAACAGG